RNAcentral lists this ribosomal RNA (487 nucleotides) under uncultured bacterium. RNAcentral's name for it is "bacterial SSU rRNA". It matches the Rfam family "Bacterial small subunit ribosomal RNA", at positions 28 to 530 of the family's 1533-position model. The record is from RNAcentral.
GAUGAACGUUGGCGGCGUGCCUAAUACAUGCAAGUCGAACGAAGACUGUAGUAAUACUGUCUUAGUGGCGAACGGGUGAGUAACGCGUGGGUGACCUGCCCCGAAGUGUGGGAUAACAGUCCGAAAGGAUUGCUAAUACUGCAUAAUAUCCAAGAGAUUAGAUGCUUUUGGAUUAAAGGAGUAAUUCGCUUCGGGAGGGGCCCGCGUCCCAUCAGCUAGUUGGUAAGGUAAUGGCUUACCAAGGCGAUGACGGGUAGGGGACCUGAGAGGGUGGCCCCCCACAAUGGAACUGAAACACGGUCCAUACACCUACGGGUGGCAGCAGUAGGGAAUAUUAGUAAUGGGCGAAAGCCUGAACUAGCAACGCCGCGUGUGCGAAGAAGGCCUUCGGGUCGUAAAGCACUUUUUGAGAGGAUGAGGAAGGACGGUACUCUCAGAAUAAGUCUCGGCUAACUACGGUGCCAGCAGCCGCGGUAAUCAUACUGUA